Molecule: ribosomal RNA, 238 nt
Filed under: uncultured bacterium
Lineage: Bacteria
Description: partial 16S ribosomal RNA
Rfam family: Bacterial small subunit ribosomal RNA
Source: RNAcentral
UGAGGAACAUGACCUUCGGCGGGGGUAGCCGGCCCAACGGCCGGGUAAUACCGCGUACGACCACAUGGGGACAUCCCUGAGUGGUGAAAGCAGCAAUGCGCCGAUGGAGUGCCUCGCGGCCUAUCAGCUUGUUGGUGGGGUAUGGCCUACCAAGGCGACGACGGGUAGCCGGCCUGAGGAGGGUCGGACCCGGCCACACUGGGACUGAGACACGGCCCAGACUCCGUAGGGGAGGCAG